CCACCCGCAGCGGGAGAGUCCGCCGCCGUCCGCCCCCGGACGGCCGGCGGCGCCGAAGGAGCAAAUCCUCCCCGGGAAUCUCUCAGGCACCCGUACCGCUGCGAGCAG
This 108-nucleotide non-coding RNA is filed under the name Kocuria sp. Its description in RNAcentral is "Glycine sequence". It matches the Rfam family "Glycine riboswitch aptamer". Rfam says of the family: This family represents the bacterial glycine riboswitch. Lineage: Bacteria; Bacillati; Actinomycetota; Actinomycetes; Micrococcales; Micrococcaceae. The record is from RNAcentral.